Molecule: long non-coding RNA, 688 nt
Organism: Mauremys mutica (yellowpond turtle)
Lineage: Eukaryota; Metazoa; Chordata; Testudines; Geoemydidae
Exons: 4
Source: RefSeq, a predicted model, not a curated record
GGGGCUGCAGCCCAGAUCCUCAGAUGUAUCUAGGCUCCUAAGAGCCACUGAAACCCAAGGGAGUUAGGAGCCUGGGGAACCUCAGAGGAUCUGGGCCACCAUCCCACCUUCGCUCCGGCCAUUCCCGGCCCUCCAGAUGGGAGGCGCCGACACCAACCUCUUUGCUUUCCCAGCCCGUGGCAGCUGCUGCUGUGCAGCUCGUGUGGCUCCCAGGGGACCCACCGCCGCUGCUCCUCGCUGGGGGCCACCAGGGGCCCGUGGGAGUGUGAGGACUGCGCGGAGCCCGCAGGGGCGGCAUCCCGCCAGCUCUCCGCCCCGGGGAGACCAGCAACCAGCCAGGCUGCGUGUGGAACCAGGGGCAGCGUCGGUGCGUCUGCCAGAGGCAGGAGGCCAGGACCCACCACACUCACCCCGAGAGCCAGACUUUCCCGUCCCCGCAAGUGAAGACCCUUCGCUGCCCCGGUCCCUGGCUCUGCUACCUACAGAAAUGUCCCCACGAGCUCUCCCAGCGUGAGCGACGCCAGAAGGAGUGAGAACGGCGUCGCCCGCUCAGCACCAGUGCUGGGAAGAGCUGUGGACCCCCGGGGUUUCCCUGCUGCUGCUCCUCUCUGUAACAUCCCAGCCCUGCCGGAGCAAGGGGUUGCCCCCCAGAACACACAGAGUGGAUACAAAUUGCUAUUUUGCCAGA